UACGUAGGGUCCGAGCGUUGUCCGGAAUUAUUGGGCGUAAAGAGCUCGUAGGCGGUUUGUCGCGUCUGCUGUGAAAUCCCGAGGCUCAACCUCGGGUCUGCAGUGGGUACGGGCAGACUGGAGUGCGGUAGGGGAGAAUGGUAUUCCUGGUGUAGCGGUGGAAUGCGCAGAUAUCAGGAGGAACACCGAUGGCGAAGGCAGUUCUCUGGGACGUAACUGACGCUGAGGAGCGAAAGCGUGGGGAGCGAACAGG
RNAcentral lists this ribosomal RNA (253 nucleotides) under uncultured bacterium. RNAcentral's name for it is "partial 16S ribosomal RNA". It matches the Rfam family "Bacterial small subunit ribosomal RNA", at positions 524 to 776 of the family's 1533-position model. The record is from RNAcentral.